UUACACUCACGAGAAAAAGCAUUGAUUGUUGUUGGCAUCAAAAGAAUGUUAGAGGGUGUGAAACCUACAAGCAUAAUGUGGUUGGUCUUGAGAGAGCUCAUGAUUCCCUUUUUUUAUCAUUCCUAAAUGUAAAUGCAAAGUAUUUUGAGUUUGAUCUUUUAGAAGAUUACAUGAACAUUAAUGUUCAUUAACAAGAAGAUGAAUUUGAAGGAGAUGAAGGUGGUGGUUGUAAUGUCAAAGUUGAUGCGAUCAAUGUCCAAGAUUGGUUUGGACAAGAAAUUGAUUUCAAUGUCAAAUGGUGGUUGACUUUAAAUAGUAUUGAAGACUCAAAUCAAAUUAAAGGGUUCCACCAUUCAAUUGAGAGCUAAAUGACAUAUUGGGAGCCAAUUACCAUUUAACUCUGGAAUUAAUUUCUUGUUCGAACCAAUGUCGAACAUUGACUGCUACCACCUUGUCAUUAUGCCCAUCCCGUUUAUUUCCAUUAGGUUCAUCUUCUUGUUGAUGAAUGUUAAUGUUCGUAUAAUCUUGUAAGUGUUCAAGCUUAAAGUACUCCACACUUACAUUCAAGAAUGAUGGGAAAAGGAGAACCAUGAGUGCUCUUAAGAAUAACCA
Molecule: non-coding RNA, 612 nt
Organism: Cajanus cajan (pigeon pea)
Lineage: Eukaryota; Viridiplantae; Streptophyta; Magnoliopsida; Fabales; Fabaceae
Source: RefSeq, a predicted model, not a curated record